CCUACGUGUGGCUGCAGUGGGGAAUAUUGGACAAUGGGCGAAAGCCUGAUCCAGCCAUGCCGCGUGUGUGAAGAAGGCCUUCGGGUUGUAAAGCACUUUCAGUGGGGAAGAAAGCCUUGGGGCUAAUACCCUCGAGGAAGGACAUCACCCACAGAAGAAGCACCGGCUAACUCCGUGCCAGCAGCCGCGGUAAUACGGAGGGUGCGAGCGUUAAUCGGAAUUACUGGGCGUAAAGCGCGCGUAGGCGGUCUGAUAAGCCGGUUGUGAAAGCCCCGGGCUCAACCUGGGAACGGCAUCCGGAACUGUCAGGCUAGAGUGCAGGAGAGGAAGGUAGAAUUCCCGGUGUAGCGGUGAAAUGCGUAGAGAUCGGGAGGAAUACCAGUGGCGAAGGCGGCCUUCUGGACUGACACUGACGCUGAGGUGCGAAAGCGUGGGUAGCAAACAGGAUUAAUACCCCGGUAGU
Molecule: ribosomal RNA, 463 nt
Filed under: Vreelandella stevensii
Lineage: Bacteria; Pseudomonadati; Pseudomonadota; Gammaproteobacteria; Oceanospirillales; Halomonadaceae
Description: partial 16S ribosomal RNA
Rfam family: Bacterial small subunit ribosomal RNA
Source: RNAcentral